Molecule: microRNA precursor, 96 nt
Filed under: Cicer arietinum (chickpea)
Lineage: Eukaryota; Viridiplantae; Streptophyta; Magnoliopsida; Fabales; Fabaceae
Description: mir-166 microRNA precursor family
Rfam family: mir-166 microRNA precursor family
About the family: This family represents the plant microRNA (miRNA) precursor mir-166. Animal miRNAs are transcribed as ~70nt precursors and subsequently processed by the Dicer enzyme to give a ~22nt product.
Source: Rfam by way of RNAcentral
UUUGUGGGGAAUGGUGUCUGGUCCAAGGAGAUCCAUCCAUUACUCACUUUCACUUCAAUCAUUUCUCUCCUCGGACCAGGCUUCAUUCCUCUCAAU